CCUACGGGAGGCAGCAGUGAGGAAUAUUGGUCAAUGGGCGCGAGCCUGAACCAGCCAAGCCGCGUGAAGGAAGAAGGCCCUACGAGUUGUAAACUUCUUUUGUAGGGGAAUAAAGGCAGGCACGAGUCCCUGUUUGAAUGUACCUUAUGAAUAAGGAUCGGCUAACUCCGUGCCAGCAGCCGCGGUAAUACGGAGGAUGCGAGCGUUAUCCGGAUUUAUUGGGUUUAAGGGGUGCGUAGGCGGGCUGUUAAGUCAGGGGUGAAAGGCCGAGGCUCAACCGCCGGAUUGCCUUUGAUACUGGCAGGCUAGAGUGUAGUUGAGGUAGGCGGAAUGCGUGGUGUAGCGGUGAAAUGCUUAGAUAUCACGCAGAACCCCGAUUGCGAAGGCAGCUUACCAAGCUACUACUGACGUUGAGGCACGAAAGCGUGGGUAGCAAACAGGAUUAGAUACCCGAGUAGUC
Molecule: ribosomal RNA, 460 nt
Filed under: uncultured bacterium
Lineage: Bacteria
Description: partial 16S ribosomal RNA
Rfam family: Bacterial small subunit ribosomal RNA
Source: RNAcentral